This 513-nucleotide ribosomal RNA is filed under the name uncultured bacterium. RNAcentral describes it as "partial 16S ribosomal RNA". It matches the Rfam family "Bacterial small subunit ribosomal RNA", at positions 28 to 523 of the family's 1533-position model. The record is from RNAcentral.
GACGAACGCUGGCGGCAUGCCUAAUACAUGCAAGUCGAGCGAACAGAUGGAGUGCUUGCACUUCUGACGUUAGCGGCGAACGGGUGAGUAACACGUAAGGAAUCUACCUAUAAGCGGGGGAUAACAUUCGGAAGCGGGUGCUAAUACCGCAUAAUAUCUUCUUCCGCAUGGAAGAAGAUUGAAAGACGGCUCUGCUGUCACUUAUAGAUGACCUUGCGGUGCAUUAGUUAGUUGGUGGGGUAACGGCCUACCAAGACGAUGAUGCAUAGCCGACCUGAGAGGGUGAUCGGCCACAUUGGGACUGAGACACGGCCCAAACUCCUACGGGAGGCAGCAGUAGGGAAUCUUCCGCAAUGGGCGAAAGCCUGACGGAGCAGUGCCGCGUGAGUGAAGAAGGCCUUCGGGUCGUAAAACUCUGUUAUAAGAGAAGAACAAAUUGUAGAGUAACUGCUACAGUCUUGACGGUAUCUUAUCAGAAAGCCACGGCUGACUACGUGCCAGCCGCCGCCGUAA